AAUGAACGCUGGCGGCAGGCCUAACACAUGCAAGUCGAACGCACCUUUCGGGGUGAGUGGCGGACGGGUGAGUAACGCGUGGGAAUAUGCCCUUUGGUACGGAAUAGUCCUGGGAAACUGGGGGUAAUACCGUAUGUGCCCUUCGGGGGAAAGAUUUAUCGCCAAAGGAUUAGCCCGCGUUGGAUUAGGUAGUUGGUGGGGUAAUGGCCUACCAAGCCGACGAUCCAUAGCUGGUUUGAGAGGAUGAUCAGCCACACUGGGACUGAGACACGGCCCAGACUCCUACGGGAGGCAGCAGUGGGGAAUCUUAGACAAUGGGGGAAACCCUGAUCUAGCCAUGCCGCGUGAUCGAUGAAGGCCUUAGGGUUGUAAACUGCUUUUAUCUGGGAAUAAACCACUCUAUUUAUGGGGUGUUGAAGGUACCAGAAGAAUAAGCACCGGCUAACUCCGUG
This 452-nucleotide ribosomal RNA is filed under the name uncultured bacterium. RNAcentral describes it as "bacterial SSU rRNA". It matches the Rfam family "Bacterial small subunit ribosomal RNA", at positions 29 to 507 of the family's 1533-position model. The record is from RNAcentral.